ACAGAGUCAAGGAGGAAUGUCCUGGAGAGAUAUUAGAGAAAAGAAAGUAAAACACUUCAGUGAAACAAGUAAAAGGUUGUUAAUAUGAAUACCUACCUGUUUUAAUAAAAACUGGCCUGAAAACCUCAGACUGGAUGGAGCCGUUGGGUCAACCAGAGGAGCAGAUGCUUCCAUGAUGAAGAAUACUCAGUGGAAUGGGAGUGAGGAAGAAGAAGUCAGGAAACAUGUUACCAAACCAGCUUCCGAUGGACGGAUUAAAAGAUGCCUGUGUGCCUAGAGGAAAAUCUAACCUGCUUCAGAAACGGUGUACAGCUUGGGGAACACGCCUCACAACUCUAAUAAUAGUACCGAGGAGAGCCAGUUCAGGACCAGUACGAGAGGAGAGCGUCGUCUCUUUCAACACAUGCUCGUAAAUUAAAGUACAUCGUGCUUUACCCUCCUGGGUUCCCUUUCUUGUAUUUAUUUUUGGGUGACUUUGGUUGUGUUGAGGUAUAAUACAAAGAAUUUGUCCAGAUUGUGCGUUGGAAGCUGAAUUUAAACUUUUCCCUUUUUUUCUUUAAAUUAUUCAGAUGCCAUUUAAACGGUUUGAUGACCUUUUAGGUUUAUUUGUCUAUGCUCCAGUUCAAAAUGCGUUGCUAAGAUAUGUUACUGCGGUGGCAGUAGGUUUAAUUCUUUUAUCAUUGUUUACGCUUAAGAUUCAGGCUUCAUAUUUCAUUAUUUUCCACCGGAUGAGUAUAUUUUUAGGUGUGCGGUACAGCUACCAAUUUUGAUAUGUUUCAGUGUUUAAUGCGUUUAAUAAUAAUAAUGCAAAAAUAAAAAUAAAGUUGUUGCCAAUUUUCCACCCACAGACUUGGCUAACACUAAAAUUUACA
This is a long non-coding RNA of Fundulus heteroclitus (mummichog), 872 nucleotides long. RefSeq lists it as uncharacterized. The transcript is spliced from 4 exons. The record is from RefSeq and is a predicted model, not a curated record. NCBI's taxonomy places the organism in Eukaryota, Metazoa, Chordata, Actinopteri, Cyprinodontiformes, Fundulidae.